This 253-nucleotide ribosomal RNA is filed under the name uncultured bacterium. RNAcentral describes it as "partial 16S ribosomal RNA". It matches the Rfam family "Bacterial small subunit ribosomal RNA", at positions 524 to 776 of the family's 1533-position model. The record is from RNAcentral.
UACGUAGGUGGCGAGCGUUGUCCGGAAUUACUGGGCGUAAAGGGUGCGUAGGCGGUGUUCCAAGUCAGAUGUGAAAACCCAAGGCUUAACCAUGGGAUUGCAUUUGAAACUGGGAUGCUAGAGUGCAGGAGAGGGAAGCGGAAUUCCUAGUGUAGCGGUGAAAUGCGUAGAUAUUAGGAAGAACACCAGUGGCGAAGGCGGCUUCCUGGACUGUAACUGACGCUGAGGCACGAAAGCGUGGGGAGCAAACAGG